GUCCGCACCGUAAACGUUGUAUACUAGAUGUUGGAGGUUUCAACGCCUUCAGUGUCGUCGCUAACGCAUUAAGUAUACCGCCUGGGGAGUAUGCUCGCAAGGGUGAAACUCAAAGAAAUUGACGGGGGCCCCGCACAAGCGGUGGAGCAUGUGGUUUAAUUCGACGAUACGCGAGAAACCUUACCUGGCCUUGACAUGGACUAGACUGGGGUAGAGAUACCCCUUCCCGCAAGGGCUGGUUCACAGGUGUUGCAUGGUCGUCGU
This 264-nucleotide ribosomal RNA is filed under the name uncultured bacterium. Its description in RNAcentral is "partial 16S ribosomal RNA". It matches the Rfam family "Bacterial small subunit ribosomal RNA", at positions 793 to 1055 of the family's 1533-position model. The record is from RNAcentral.